This 607-nucleotide long non-coding RNA is filed under the name Homo sapiens (human). Its description in RNAcentral is "HSALNT0405408". Lineage: Eukaryota; Metazoa; Chordata; Mammalia; Primates; Hominidae. The record is from RNAcentral.
GCCUGCCUAAAGAUUUCUGAUGCUUAAUCCUCCUCUGUCUCCCUUGCUGUCUUUCUCUGUCAUUGUAUCUCUUGGCAUCUCAGUUCCACGUCUUCUGUUUCUCUCUCUUUCUCCACCUAUUUUCCCUUCAGAAGCAUUUUCACCCCAAUGUCUCUGUAUGUUCCUUGCAGCAUUCCCUCUGGAAUACAUCAGCACUGUUGCCUUUGAGGCUGGCCUGCUUGAAUGCACACCUGAGCUCCGGAUUCACAGCAAUUUCUUGGAUGAUUCACAGUGGAGGAAGCCAGAUGCCAUGUCAUGAGGGUGCUCAAGCAACUUUUUGGAGAUGUAUGUAUGGAGAGAAACUGAGGCCUCCUGCCAACAGCCAGCACUAACUUGGCAAGCAUGUUUGAGAGCCACCUGGGAAGUGGAGCCUUCAGCCCCAGUUAAGCCUUCAGAUGAGACUGCAGUCCUGGCCACCAUCUGGACUGCAACUUCACAAGAGCUCCUAAGCCAGAGCCAUGCAGAUGGAUUCUUGGCCCCCAGAAAUUGUGCCACUACAUUUUGGGAAAUUUAUUAUGCAGCCAUAGAUUACCAAUACACUCACUAUUUCUUUUUUCUGAUGCCAUAC